Molecule: ribosomal RNA, 246 nt
Filed under: uncultured bacterium
Lineage: Bacteria
Description: partial 16S ribosomal RNA
Rfam family: Bacterial small subunit ribosomal RNA
Source: RNAcentral
UACAGAGGUCCCGAGCGUUGUUCGGAUUUAUUGGGCGUAAAGGGUGCGUAGGCGGCGGAGUAAGUUGGGUGUGAAAUCCCGGGGCUUAACCUCGGAAUUGCAUUCAAUACUGCUUCGCUAGAGUACUGGAGAGGAGGCUGGAAUUUACGGUGUAGCAGUGAAAUGCGUAGAUAUCGUAAGGAAGGCCGGUGGCGAAAGCGAGCCUCUGGACAGUUACUGACGCUGAUGCACGAAGGCCAAGGGGAG